GACGAACGCUGGCGGCGUGCUUAACACAUGCAAGUCGAACGGAAAGGCCCUUCGGGGUACUCGAGCUCCGAACGGGAAAGUAUCACGUAAAUAACCUUCCCUUGCCCUUGGGAUUACCCCGGCUACCCGAGGCUAAUACCGGUACUGGCCUGGUGCCCCUUGGUCUUGGUUGGGAUGGUUUUUUUUCCUCGGUUGGGGAUGGGCUCGCGGCUUAUCAGCUUGUUGGUGGGGCCUUGGCUUACCAAGGCGAUGACGGGUAGCCGGCCUGAGAGGGUGACCGGCCACAUUGGGACUGAGAUACGGCCCAGACUCCUACGGGAGGCAGCAGUGGGGAAUAUUGCACAAUGGGCGGAAGCCUGAUGCAGCAACGCCGUGUGAGGGAUGAAGGCCUUCGGGUUGUAAACCUCUUUCGGCAGGGACGAAGCGUGAGUGACGGUACCUGCAGAAGAAGCGCCGGCCAACUACGUG
This 468-nucleotide ribosomal RNA is filed under the name uncultured bacterium. RNAcentral's name for it is "partial 16S ribosomal RNA". It matches the Rfam family "Bacterial small subunit ribosomal RNA", at positions 28 to 507 of the family's 1533-position model. The record is from RNAcentral.